Myotis lucifugus (little brown bat) is the source of this 629-nucleotide long non-coding RNA. RefSeq lists it as uncharacterized. The record is from RefSeq and is a predicted model, not a curated record. Lineage: Eukaryota; Metazoa; Chordata; Mammalia; Chiroptera; Vespertilionidae. The transcript is spliced from 2 exons.
UUUCAUUUAAUAUUUUUGGACUGCCGUUGACUGUGGGUAACUGAAACUGUGGACAGCAAAACUGAGGAUAGGAGGGGAUUACUGCAUUUUCUGGCCAGAAGAAAGAUUCAUUUGAUGUGAACCCAGAGAAGAAAUGUAUCUGCUGCAAUGGACUCCCCAUGGUCUCAAACUAGGUGAAAGCAAUGGAGCAGCCACAUUUUACAGACACCGAGAGUCUAGCAGCUGACAGGGGCUCCUCACGUUCUGUUUAUCCCAGGAAGAACUUCAGACUGAACUCUUGGCUUCCUAAGCAAUGCUAUACUCCUUUACACUGCCUGAGCCAACUGUUAUAAGGGGGUUCCUGGUAUCUUCUUCCCACCAGUGGACCAAGACCUGCCCCAUGCAAUCAGAAAUGCUCCAUAACAACCAAUCAGGAUGCAUAAUGCUGACCAACCAGGACUGUGCAGUUCAGAAGUGUAUGAAUUUGGAUAUUUCUUUACAUGAAAUGGACCUAAUUAGGAACUAUGUCAGGAACUUUCUAGCUACAAAAAGUGCCCUUCCCUUUGUGUAGGCAGAACAUAACUUAGGUUGCUAACUCAACCUGCGUCUCCUGGGCUGCAUUUGCUCAAAUAAAUGUUUAUUAUUCUUUA